Molecule: non-coding RNA, 105 nt
Organism: Periconia macrospinosa
Lineage: Eukaryota; Fungi; Ascomycota; Dothideomycetes; Pleosporales; Periconiaceae
Source: the annotation of a GenBank genome assembly
GGCAGCGUGUCAGAGUGGUUAAUGAGUAUGACUCGAACGUCUCGCAAGAGCACAAAUAGAUAUCAUAUGCCUUCGGGCGCGCAGGUUCGAAUCCUGCCGCUGUCG